UAGAGAAGGGCCUAUGGGUGUCCAGUUACUCAGUGUUUUUAUUAAUUUGGGUUCUAUGCAAAAAAGAAAUCUACCUCAUCUCUUCAUAAGAAUAUCUGGAGGAGGGUCCAGAACCCAAAUGAAAGGUCAGAGUGACCACCAAACAAUUCUUAGCAAUCGAGCUUCAUCUUUGAUAACCCUCACCAUGCCCAUCUCUUCCUCUCAGAGCCUCACUCCAACUCUGGAUUUCACACACUGGAAGUAUCUUCCAUUCUUUCAGACUGACCCUGUGAUUGGAUGGAUCCUUUUGUAUCUUUACACUUAAAGAGGGCACUCAGGCAAGCCAAGUCUCAUUCCUCUCCAGGAUGUGCUCAGGACUUCCUCU
Molecule: long non-coding RNA, 364 nt
Organism: Phascolarctos cinereus (koala)
Lineage: Eukaryota; Metazoa; Chordata; Mammalia; Diprotodontia; Phascolarctidae
Source: RefSeq, a predicted model, not a curated record